GCUUUGGGAUAGGAUUCCAUUUAAAGAAUGGCUAGAGCAAUCUAAGGGAAAGCGCAACAGAAAACAAACCGCCACAAUGGCAAGGGUGAAAAGGUGGGGUAAGAGCCUACCGAAAGUGCAGUAAUGCACUUUGCUUUGCAAGCCCAAUCCGCAGCAAGAAAGGUAUGGUUAAUAUCCCAAGAAUUGAGCCUUUUGCUAGAGUUUUGCUGCAAGGCAAAAUGUAGAUAAAUAGCCACAUAA
RNAcentral lists this unclassified non-coding RNA (240 nucleotides) under Helicobacter rodentium. Its description in RNAcentral is "RNase P RNA". It matches the Rfam family "Bacterial RNase P class A", at positions 59 to 319 of the family's 367-position model. Rfam says of the family: Ribonuclease P (RNase P) is a ubiquitous endoribonuclease, found in archaea, bacteria and eukarya as well as chloroplasts and mitochondria. Its best characterised activity is the generation of mature 5'-ends of tRNAs by cleaving the 5'-leader elements of precursor-tRNAs. Cellular RNase Ps are ribonucleoproteins. The record is from RNAcentral. Lineage: Bacteria; Pseudomonadati; Campylobacterota; Epsilonproteobacteria; Campylobacterales; Helicobacteraceae.